CUACGGGAGGCUCCAGUCAAGAAUCUUCCACAAUGGCCGAAAGGCUGAUGGAGCGACGCCGCGUGCAUGAAGAAGCCCUUCGGGGUGUAAAAUGCUUUUAUGUGGGACGAAACAAUGACGGUACCACAAGAAUAAGGGGCUGCUAACCUCGUGCCAGCAGCAGCGGUAAUACGAGGGCCCCGAGCGUUUAUCCGGAUUUAUUGGGCGUAAAGGGUCCGUAGGCGGUCUAUUACAUCUCCUGUUAAAUCCCAAGGCUUAACCUUGGAACUGCGGGAGAGAUGGAUAGACUAGAGGCCGGUAGAGGCAAGCGGAAUUGUCGGUGUAGGGGUUAAAUCCGUUAAUAUCGACAGGAACACCAAAUGCGAAGGCAGCUUGCUAGAACGAGCCUGACGCUCAGGGACGAAAGCGUGGGUAGCGAAUGGGAUUAGAUACCCUCGUAGUC
Molecule: ribosomal RNA, 442 nt
Filed under: uncultured bacterium
Lineage: Bacteria
Description: partial 16S ribosomal RNA
Rfam family: Bacterial small subunit ribosomal RNA
Source: RNAcentral